UCGGAGGAAAAGAAACCAACAGGGAUUGCCUUAGUAACGGCGAGUGAAGCGGCAAAAGCUCAAAUUUGAAAUCUGGCACCUUCGGUGUCCGAGUUGUAAUUUGAAGAAGGUAACUUUGGAGUUGGCUCUUGUCUAUGUUCCUUGGAACAGGACGUCACAGAGGGUGAGAAUCCCGUGCGAUGAGAUGCCCAAUUCUAUGUAAAGUGCUUUCGAAGAGUCGAGUUGUUUGGGAAUGCAGCUCUAAGUGGGUGGUAAAUUCCAUCUAAAGCUAAAUAUUGGCGAGAGACCGAUAGCGAACAAGUACAGUGAUGGAAAGAUGAAAAGAACUUUGAAAAGAGAGUGAAAAAGUACGUGAAAUUGUUGAAAGGGAAGGGCUUGAGAUCAGACUUGGUAUUUUGCGAUCCUUUCCUUCUUGGUUGGGUUCCUCGCAGCUUACUGGGCCAGCAUCGGUUUGGAUGGUAGGAUAAUGACUAAGGAAUGUGGCUCUACUUCGGUGGAGUGUUAUAGCCUUGGUUGAUACUGCCUGUCUAGACCGAGGACUGCGUCUUUGACUACGACAAUGCAUAG
This 567-nucleotide ribosomal RNA is filed under the name Debaryomyces hansenii. RNAcentral describes it as "partial large subunit ribosomal RNA". It matches the Rfam family "Eukaryotic large subunit ribosomal RNA", at positions 50 to 622 of the family's 3401-position model. The record is from RNAcentral. Lineage: Eukaryota; Fungi; Ascomycota; Pichiomycetes; Serinales; Debaryomycetaceae.